Molecule: ribosomal RNA, 253 nt
Filed under: uncultured Byssovorax sp.
Lineage: Bacteria; Pseudomonadati; Myxococcota; Polyangiales; Polyangiaceae
Description: partial 16S ribosomal RNA
Rfam family: Bacterial small subunit ribosomal RNA
Source: RNAcentral
GACAGUGGGUGCAAACGUUGUUCGGAAUUACUGGGCGUAAAGCGCGUGUAGGCUGCUUCGCAAGUCGGGUGUGAAAGCCCUGGGCUCAACCUAGGAAGUGCAUUCGAAACUGCGAAGCUCGAGUCCUGGAGAGGAAGGCGGAAUUCUCGGUGUAGAGGUGAAAUUCGUAAAUAUCGAGAGGAACACCGGUGGCGAAGGUGGCCUUCUGGACAGUGACUGACGCUGAGACGCGAAAGCGAGGGGAGCAAACAGG